UGCGUAGGCGGAAUAGUAAGUCAGUGGUGAAAUCCUGCGGCUCAACCGUAGAACUGCCAUUGAUACUGCUAAUCUUGAGUGUAGUUGAGGUGGGCGGAAUGUGUAAUGUAGCGGUGAAAUGCAUAGAUAUUACACAGAACACCGAUUGCGAAGGCAGCUCACUAAACUAUUACUGACGCUGAGGCACGAAAGCGUGGGGAGCGAACAGGAUUAGAUACCCUGGUAGUCC
This 229-nucleotide ribosomal RNA is filed under the name uncultured bacterium. RNAcentral's name for it is "partial 16S ribosomal RNA". It matches the Rfam family "Bacterial small subunit ribosomal RNA", at positions 568 to 796 of the family's 1533-position model. The record is from RNAcentral.